GCCCACCUCGCCUCUCCAUCCUGCUCCGCCCUCUGCCCGCCCCGCCCCGAAGCCACGCCCUGCCGGGUGCUUUCCCAUGGGCGACCGAAACUCGGCUCGUGGUUUCGCAGUCCUGGAACCGCCGGCACCCGCGUAGACCGUCCCCUCUCGGUGCUGGCUCUGGCUCCCGGGAUGAGUGUCCCCGUCGGCGCUGCCCCGCCCUCGCUCGUCGCCUCAGCGACCAUGGCCUUUCCAGGAGGCGAGGCCGCCAGCCAUAGCGCCCUCGCUGCGUCGGCGUCCAGGCGGGACUCCGGAGUGGGCGGGGCUCCGGCUCUAGGCAGGCUGCUAUGUUGGAUCAAGUAAAGUUCUAAACGCUGUGCACCUAUUUAGUACUGACUAGUACUAGGAAGUGUAUUUGCUUUUCGGAGAUGAUGGGAUCUAAAUUUUGUUUAUACCACUUCACGCCCAUUAGGAUGGCUACUAGCAAAACCCCCAGAAAUUAGUGUUGGUGAAGAUGUAGAGAAAUUGAAGCCCUUGUAUAUUGCUGUUGGGAAUGUAAAAUGGUGCAGCCAUGUGAUGAACAAUACUGCGGUUCCUCAACAAAUCAGUUAUAUGAUCCAGCAUUUUCUUUUCUGGGUAUAUAACCCAAAAGAAUUUAAAACAGGGUGUACAAGAAGAAAUGUUUUUACACUCACGUUGACAGCGGCACUAUUCACAAUAGCCAAAAGGGUGGAGGCAAUUUAAGUGUCCAAAAACAGAUACAUGGAUAAGCAAAAUGUUGUCUGUGCAUGCAAGGGAACAUUUUUUAGCCUGAACAAAGAACGAAAUUCUGACACUUGCUACUACAUGGAUGAACCUGGAGGACACUAUGCUGAGGGAGAGACUCCAGUCCCACCAGAUUUCCCACCGAUCUGCUGACAUGAUGCUCCUGCCUCUGCCUGGACUGCUGACCUCCCCACGUGCUUCUCCCUGCUUAUCCAAGCGCCCCUUUCCCACUGAAAGCAUCUCAGAACCCUGAAGAAGCUGCAUCCCUGUACAUCUGUCACUGGCAGAACCAGGAACCAGAACGAGAUCUUAUCAUAAAACCUAUGGAAGAAAUCGAGGAUGUUUGCAUAGGACGUUUUUGGAGAAUUUGGCCUUUUGAAAGAAAAUGUAACUAAGCUCUGUGGUUCUGAAAGCUUCCUCUACCUGAGAUGAUUUCAAGAUCUCCAGGACACCUGUGGGUAUCAUUGGUAGAUGCUGUUCAGGUAGUUAAGGUGAUGUUGGUGAGUAUUAUUUGAUAAAAAUGCUGGAUAUUACAUUAACUCACUUCCAUUCUAGACUGCCAGUAACUACUAUCACCUACCUUUUACUUCACCUGAUAGAGAUAUGGGAGUUAAAAGAAAAUUUUUCAUCACUAAUGGUAGUCUUUGAGCUAUAUAAGGUCAGAAACAAAAAUAUCCAAGACUGAUUUCUUACCUUCAAAAAGUAGCAAGCAAGGUAAAAGCAAAUAAGCAGAUAACUUCCCAUUUAUCAGAGAUUGGGUGAAAUAGGACUACUAUGCACUCCAGGUUAGAGUCAAAGAUGCCUGCCAGUCACAAGGACCUGUAACCCGAUGCUUGCGGGCAUCUGUGAUGAAUCCUAGCCCCAGAUGAAAUACUCCCAGACCAAGUGGUUUGGCAGGGUCCAUUCCACAGGGGCAAUUUGCAUCUGGCAGCUGAUGAUGCCCUCUGUCCCCAUUAUAACCCACAAUCUAUAAUAGAGCUGCUUGGUUGCUGUAUUUUCUGAAAAAUAAAAAAAGACAAGCUUGUGACUAUCGAAGACCCAUUUACCUGUUGGUGGCAAGGAGCUGAAUGGCAUGGUGGGUGUAUUUCCUAGAUAGUUGGUCUCAGGCACUGGGAUAUUAUGCAGACUAGGCAUAUGACUUGGAAUUGGCCUGUACCAAACUCUGGGACCUGCUGUUCCUGGAUCCAGUGGUCUUGUUCCAAAGCCAUGUGAGCUAUAUAAUCCAUUGUUCUGAUACAGUACUUGAGGUUGGCUGGUGAGCCCUGAGGGCUGGUGCACUGCAUUACCAUGACUGGCUGCACUGGAAUAAGCAGUGCCUUUUCCCUCUGUAUUCUGAAAAUUCUCGUAAGGUCUUUGCUGUGCAAAAGGGUCAUGGGAGACCCUGCGUCUCCUUUCCUCCUCUCUGUUGUAAGCCACAUUCUGUCUGGGCUGCUGUUUCGUCUGCCUGUCCAUGCGGCUGCCAUAAAGAUGGUAGUUGGCUUCGUCUUGGAGUUUACUCUGCAGGCUGGGCUCAUUCUCUUCUUGUGGGUGCUCCAGGGAAGGAGCAAACCAGGACUCCUCCACAGGACCCAUCCCAAGUCCCUGGGAACUGUGCAGUGAACCAGGCUGUUCUGUGGCUGAGAAGAAAUGAUCAACAUUAGAAUGGGUGUCAUGAAACAUUAAAAAGUAAAAUAAAA
This is a long non-coding RNA of Homo sapiens (human), 2420 nucleotides long. RefSeq lists it as uncharacterized. The record is from RefSeq and is a predicted model, not a curated record. NCBI's taxonomy places the organism in Eukaryota, Metazoa, Chordata, Mammalia, Primates, Hominidae. The transcript has 4 exons.